Pelobates cultripes (western spadefoot toad) is the source of this 335-nucleotide non-coding RNA. The record is from the annotation of a GenBank genome assembly. Lineage: Eukaryota; Metazoa; Chordata; Amphibia; Anura; Pelobatidae.
CUGCAUAUCAGUACAGAAAUAAACAAAACUGUAGACAAGACACUUUGGCAAAAGGGACCAAGUUUGAAGAGGAAAGGUUUCCAUAAAAUGUUAUUCAUCUCUACAGAAUCUGACAUCUGUAAAUGGCUUAACGGUUUUUUUUGGGGGGAGGGAGAAAUUCAGGUUAAUUCAAGUUAAAUAUCAGCUGAAAGUAAAGAACUGAUUGGUGAUAUCAACUUAAAGGGCCAAAGUUACACAAAUAUUCUAGAACAGUUGUGGAUGACGUACUAAUGAAGUGCAACAAAUUAGGCAAUAUAAAAUAAUUAAUACAAUUAAAAAAUUGUUUGCGUUUGUCG